UCUCCUGGAAAACGGGUGGUAAUGCCGGAUGUUCCAGUUGAUCGCAUGGUCUUCUGGGAAAGCUUUCGCGGUAUGGGAUGGGGUCGCGUCCUAUCAGCUUGACGGCGGGGUAACGGCCCACCGUGGCUUCGACGGGUAGCCGGCCUGAGAGGGCGACCGGCCACAUUGGGACUGAGAUACGGCCCAGACUCCUACGGGAGGCAGCAGUGGGGAAUAUUGCACAAUGGGCGCAAGCCUGAUGCAGCGACGCCGCGUGAGGGAUGGAGGCCUUCGGGUUGUAAACCUCUUUUAUCGGGGAGCAAGCGUGAGUGAGUUUACCCGUUGAAUAAGCACCGGCUAACUACGUGCCAGCAGCCGCGGUAAUACGUAGGGUGCAAGCGUUAUCCGGAAUUAUUGGGCGUAAAGGGCUCGUAGGCGGUUCGUCGCGUCCGGUGUGAAAGUCCAUCGCUUAACGGUGGAUCCGCGCCGGGUACGGGCGGGCUUGAGUGCGGUAGGGGAGACUGGAAUUCCCGGUGUAACGGUGGAAUGUGUAGAUAUCG
RNAcentral lists this ribosomal RNA (539 nucleotides) under Bifidobacterium longum subsp. infantis. Its description in RNAcentral is "bacterial SSU rRNA". It matches the Rfam family "Bacterial small subunit ribosomal RNA", at positions 146 to 699 of the family's 1533-position model. Lineage: Bacteria; Bacillati; Actinomycetota; Actinomycetes; Bifidobacteriales; Bifidobacteriaceae. The record is from RNAcentral. RNAcentral also lists the same sequence under 1 other name.